CCGGCACGGGUGAGUAACACGUAUCCAACCUGCCGUCUACUCUUGGACAGCCUUCUGAAGGAAGAUUAAUACAAGAUGGCAUCAUGAGUUCACAUGUUCACAUGAUUAAAGGUAUUCCGGUAGACGAUGGGGAUGCGUUCCAUUAGAUAGUAGGCGGGGUAACGGCCCACCUAGUCUUCGAUGGAUAGGGGUUCUGAGAGGAAGGUCCCCCACAUUGGAACUGGGACACGGUCCAA
This 236-nucleotide ribosomal RNA is filed under the name uncultured bacterium. RNAcentral's name for it is "partial 16S ribosomal RNA". It matches the Rfam family "Bacterial small subunit ribosomal RNA", at positions 100 to 334 of the family's 1533-position model. The record is from RNAcentral.